Non-coding RNA from Cinara cedri, 286 nucleotides. Lineage: Eukaryota; Metazoa; Arthropoda; Insecta; Hemiptera; Aphididae. The record is from the annotation of a GenBank genome assembly.
UAUAACAGCCGACAAGCCGUCGCUGGAAAAUCCGCGGACGCGGUAAUUGUUUCCGAAAAACGCACUUACAUCCAUCGUCGUCGUCGUGAAAGCUGCACGUAUUCUAUAAUUCAAUUUCGAGUGACGUCGGUCGGAAGAACGGAAAUAUAAUAAUUUCGCGUAACAACCGUAAAACGGAUUAAAUUGGAUAUUAUAUACUAUACCUUUAUGCGUGUGUAACGCGCAAAACGGGACAUUUUUCGCCGUACAUCGACGACGGUGUCAAACUGAAAAGGGUUCGGAUGCG